RNAcentral lists this ribosomal RNA (490 nucleotides) under uncultured Gammaproteobacteria bacterium. Its description in RNAcentral is "bacterial SSU rRNA". It matches the Rfam family "Bacterial small subunit ribosomal RNA", at positions 30 to 507 of the family's 1533-position model. Lineage: Bacteria; Pseudomonadati; Pseudomonadota; Gammaproteobacteria. The record is from RNAcentral.
AUUGAACGCUGGCGGCAGGCCUAACACAUGCAAGUCGAGCGGCAGCACGGGGAAGUUUACUUCCUGGGUGGCGAGCGGCGGACGGGUGAGUAAUGCCUGGGAAUUUGCCCAUCGGUGGGGGAUACCAGUUGGAAACGACUGCUAAUACCGCAUACGCCCUACGGGGGAAAGCAGGGGACCUUCGGGCCUUGCGCCGAUGGAUAAGCCCAGGUGGGAUUAGCUAGUUGGUGAGGUAAUGGCUCACCAAGGCGACGAUCCCUAGCUGUUCUGAGAGGAUGAUCAGCCACACUGGGACUGAGACACGGCCCAGACUCCUACGGGAGGCAGCAGUGGGGAAUAUUGCACAAUGGGGGAAACCCUGAUGCAGCCAUGCCGCGUGUGUGAAGAAGGCCUUCGGGUUGUAAAGCACUUUCAGUCAGGAGGAAAGGUUGACGAUUAAUACUCGUCAGCUGUGACGUUACUGACAGAAGAAGGACCGGCUAACUCCGUG